GGAAUAUUGGACAAUGGGCGAAAGCCUGAUCCAGCCAUGCCGCGUGUGUGAAGAAGGUCUUCGGAUUGUAAAGCACUUUAAGUUGGGAGGAAGGGCAGUAAGCGAAUACCUUGCUGUUUUGACGUUACCGACAGAAUAAGCACCGGCUAACUCUGUGCCAGCAGCCGCGGUAAUACAGAGGGUGCAAGCGUUAAUCGGAAUUACUGGGCGUAAAGCGCGCGUAGGUGGUUUGUUAAGUUGGAUGUGAAAGCCCCGGGCUCAACCUGGGAACUGCAUCCAAAACUGGCAAGCUAGAGUACAGUAGAGGGUGGUGGAAUUUCCUGUGUAGCGGUGAAAUGCGUAGAUAUAGGAAGGAACACCAGUGGCGAAGGCGACCACCUGGACUGAUACUGACACUGAGGUGCGAAAGCGUGGGGAGCAAACAGGAUUAGAUACCCUUG
RNAcentral lists this ribosomal RNA (440 nucleotides) under uncultured Pseudomonas sp. RNAcentral describes it as "bacterial SSU rRNA". It matches the Rfam family "Bacterial small subunit ribosomal RNA", at positions 358 to 790 of the family's 1533-position model. The record is from RNAcentral. Lineage: Bacteria; Pseudomonadati; Pseudomonadota; Gammaproteobacteria; Pseudomonadales; Pseudomonadaceae.